RNAcentral lists this ribosomal RNA (825 nucleotides) under Escherichia coli. RNAcentral's name for it is "partial 23S ribosomal RNA". It matches the Rfam family "Bacterial large subunit ribosomal RNA", at positions 411 to 1238 of the family's 2925-position model. The record is from RNAcentral. Lineage: Bacteria; Pseudomonadati; Pseudomonadota; Gammaproteobacteria; Enterobacterales; Enterobacteriaceae.
AGUAGGGCGGGACACGUGGUAUCCUGUCUGAAUAUGGGGGGACCAUCCUCCAAGGCUAAAUACUCCUGACUGACCGAUAGUGAACCAGUACCGUGAGGGAAAGGCGAAAAGAACCCCGGCGAGGGGAGUGAAAAAGAACCUGAAACCGUGUACGUACAAGCAGUGGGAGCCUCUUAAUGGGGUGACUGCGUACCUUUUGUAUAAUGGGUCAGCGACUUAUAUUCUGUAGCAAGGUUAACCGAAUAGGGGAGCCGAAGGGAAACCGAGUCUUAACUGGGCGUUAAGUUGCAGGGUAUAGACCCGAAACCCGGUGAUCUAGCCAUGGGCAGGUUGAAGGUUGGGUAACACUAACUGGAGGACCGAACCGACUAAUGUUGAAAAAUUAGCGGAUGACUUGUGGCUGGGGGUGAAAGGCCAAUCAAACCGGGAGAUAGCUGGUUCUCCCCGAAAGCUAUUUAGGUAGCGCCUCGUGAAUUCAUCUCCGGGGGUAGAGCACUGUUUCGGCAAGGGGGUCAUCCCGACUUACCAACCCGAUGCAAACUGCGAAUACCGGAGAAUGUUAUCACGGGAGACACACGGCGGGUGCUAACGUCCGUCGUGAAGAGGGAAACAACCCAGACCGCCAGCUAAGGUCCCAAAGUCAUGGUUAAGUGGGAAACGAUGUGGGAAGGCCCAGACAGCCAGGAUGUUGGCUUAGAAGCAGCCAUCAUUUAAAGAAAGCGUAAUAGCUCACUGGUCGAGUCGGCCUGCGCGGAAGAUGUAACGGGGCUAAACCAUGCACCGAAGCUGCGGCAGCGACACUAUGUGUUGUUGGGUAGGGGAGCG